AGAAUUUGAUCUUGGUCAGGAUGAACGCUAGCGACAGGCCUAACACAUGCAAGUCGAGGGGCAGCAACGAAGGAGCAAUCUGAGGUGGCGACCGGCGCACGGGUGAGUAACACGUAUGCAACCUGCCUGUAGGCGGGAAUAACCCGUUGAAGGACGGACUAAUACCGCAUAAUACUAAAUUACUGCAUGGUAAUUUAUUUAAACAUUUAUGGCUUACAGAUGGGCAUGCGCAUGAUUAGCUAGUUGGAGAGGUAACGGCUCCCCAAGGCAACGAUCAUUAGGGGUUCUGAGAGGAAGGUCCCCCACACUGGUACUGAGACACGGACCAGACUCCUACGGGAGGCAGCAGUGAGGAAUAUUGGUCAAUGGACGAGAGUCUGAACCAGCCAAGUAGCGUGAAGGAUGACUGCCCUAUGGGUUGUAAACUUCUUUUAUAAGGGAAUAAAGUGAGGGACGUGUCCCUUUUUGUAUGUACCUUAUGAAUAAGGAUCGGCUAACUCCGUGCCAGCCGCUGC
RNAcentral lists this ribosomal RNA (515 nucleotides) under uncultured bacterium. RNAcentral's name for it is "bacterial SSU rRNA". It matches the Rfam family "Bacterial small subunit ribosomal RNA", at positions 8 to 518 of the family's 1533-position model. The record is from RNAcentral.